AGCCAGCUCUGCUGAGGAGCUAACUGCUCCAGAUGCUGAGACACUGAAAUGAUUGCUAUCUGGAAAGUUUUUUGAGUAAUAAAAUAAAAAAGCAACUCACUACCAGAUGCAUAAAGUAAUGCUUUUACCUGAUCGUCAUUGUGAACUUUCACAAAGAUGGAAGAUGGAAUGUUGGUGGAAACAGAUCAGGGAAGAAGCUGUAGAUUGUAGCCACUGCUUGGUUGGUGAGGCUAAACUGCAGUCUGAAGAUGGCAUUCUUACAAAGGAUCUUACCUUGAGGCUGGGGCGGGUCUGCUGAGCAGAGCAUUUUGCAUUCUCUCAUUGCUUUGGCUAGUAACAUGAUGGCAGUGACUUCAACGUCAGAAUGGGAAUGGGAUCUCCACUGAAAAGCUUUUACCGAGAGAAUUUGGCACAACAGGAGCAGCAGCACAUUAGAUUUUUGGAGACAUCCCGGUCUAUUUCCCCCUCAAAGAAGCCUACACUCUAAAAGAAGACCAAAGGGG
Ictidomys tridecemlineatus (thirteen-lined ground squirrel) is the source of this 503-nucleotide non-coding RNA. The record is from RefSeq and is a predicted model, not a curated record. NCBI's taxonomy places the organism in Eukaryota, Metazoa, Chordata, Mammalia, Rodentia, Sciuridae.